CCUACGGGAGGCAGCAGUGGGGAAUAUUGCACAAUGGGGGGAACCCUGAUGCAGCGACGCCGCGUGAGUGAAGAAGUAUUUCGGUAUGUAAAGCUCUAUCAGCAGGGAAGAAAAUGACGGUACCUGACUAAGAAGCCCCGGCUAACUACGUGCCAGCAGCCGCGGUAAUACGUAGGGGGCAAGCGUUAUCCGGAUUUACUGGGUGUAAAGGGAGCGCAGACGGCUGUGCAAGUCUGGAGUGAAAGGCGGGGGCCCAACCCCCGGACUGCUCUGGAUACUGUAAAGCUGGAGGGCAGGAGAGGUAAGCGGAAUUCCUAGGGUAGCGGUGAAAUGCGUAGAUAUUAGGAGGAACACCAGUGGCGAAGGCGGCUUACUGGACUGCAACUGACGUUGAGGCUCGAAAGCGUGGGGAGCAAACAGGAUUAGAUACCCGGGUAGUC
RNAcentral lists this ribosomal RNA (440 nucleotides) under uncultured bacterium. RNAcentral's name for it is "partial 16S ribosomal RNA". It matches the Rfam family "Bacterial small subunit ribosomal RNA", at positions 338 to 795 of the family's 1533-position model. The record is from RNAcentral.